GGGAAUGUGGCUUAGUGGUAGAGCAUGUGCCUAGCAUGCAUGAAGCCCUGGUUCAAUUCCUCAGUACCA
This 69-nucleotide transfer RNA is filed under the name Dipodomys ordii (Ord's kangaroo rat). It matches the Rfam family "tRNA". Rfam says of the family: Transfer RNA (tRNA) molecules are approximately 80 nucleotides in length. Their secondary structure includes four short double-helical elements and three loops (D, anti-codon, and T loops). Further hydrogen bonds mediate the characteristic L-shaped molecular structure. tRNAs have two regions of fundamental functional importance: the anti-codon, which is responsible for specific mRNA codon recognition, and the 3' end, to which the tRNAs corresponding amino acid is attached (by aminoacyl-tRNA synthetases). tRNAs cope with the degeneracy of the genetic code in two manners: having more than one tRNA (with a specific anti-codon) for a particular amino acid; and 'wobble' base-pairing, i.e. permitting non-standard base-pairing at the 3rd anti-codon position. The record is from Rfam by way of RNAcentral. Lineage: Eukaryota; Metazoa; Chordata; Mammalia; Rodentia; Heteromyidae.